UGGGGAAUUUUGCACAAUGGGCGCAAGCCUGAUGCAGCGACGCCGCGUGAGGGAUGAAGGCCUUCGGGUUGUAAACCUUUUUCGCUCAUGGUCAAGCCGCAGCUUUGGGUUGUGGUGAGGGUAGUGGGUAAAGAAGCGCCGGCUAACUACGUGCCAGCAGCCGCGGUAAUACGUAGGGCGGGAGCGUUGUCCGGCAUUAUUGGGCGUAAAGGGCUUGUAGGCGGUUGGCCGCGUCUGCCGUGAAAGCCUCUGGCUUAACUGGGGGCGUGGGGUGGGUACGGGUUGAAUUGAGUGCGGUAGGGGAGGCUGGAAUUCCUGGUGUAGCGAUGGAAUGCGCAGAUAUCGGGGGGAACACCGGUGGCGAAGGCGGGUCUCUGGGCCGUUACUGACGCUGUGGAACGAAAGCGUGGGGAGCGAACAGG
This 422-nucleotide ribosomal RNA is filed under the name Verrucomicrobiota bacterium. Its description in RNAcentral is "Verrucomicrobia bacterium partial 16S ribosomal RNA". It matches the Rfam family "Bacterial small subunit ribosomal RNA", at positions 355 to 776 of the family's 1533-position model. Lineage: Bacteria; Pseudomonadati; Verrucomicrobiota. The record is from RNAcentral.